AAGAAAAAGGUGGCAUUUCAAGGGAUUAAGCUAAUAAAGGCUCGAGGUAGCUUGUGGAUAGCAGAUAUCGUCAAGGAUUAUAGUCAGCUUUACUACUCCAAAAACUGUAGGUUUACUGCCUUUGUGUACUUUUGUUCCCUGUGGGCCCACGAGUCAUUGUAAAGCUCAGAAUAGACUGUAGAUAGCUGGUAUCGUUGAG
Molecule: non-coding RNA, 199 nt
Organism: Theobroma cacao (cacao)
Lineage: Eukaryota; Viridiplantae; Streptophyta; Magnoliopsida; Malvales; Malvaceae
Source: RefSeq, a predicted model, not a curated record